UUUUCUGAUCGGAAUGAAACGGCAUUACAAAGGUUCUUGCGAGAUCAUCGGUACACAAGAAAUACUGAAAAAGAGGCUAGUGAUAGUAACACUCAGGAGAGUGCAACAUUGACAGUGGUUCGGGGACCCUUUGUUGCUCUUGUUGACCUGGACGUCAUGGUGUCAUCAUUAGUUGACACGUUCCAUAUGCCCAAUUAUAAGCCGAUAAGCGACGCCUCACAGCUCGUAAUUCACAAGCCGUGCAGCAAAUGGGAGAUGCUGAAAACUAUGUGGAAUAUGGCCUUGAAUACAAGCCAAUUUGCUGACGAACCGCCAGAGUACGCUUUGUCCUUGUUUGUUAACGAGUUCUCAGUCCAUGUCAACAACCCUAACGACGCUGA
Dreissena polymorpha is the source of this 380-nucleotide long non-coding RNA. RefSeq lists it as uncharacterized. Lineage: Eukaryota; Metazoa; Mollusca; Bivalvia; Myida; Dreissenidae. The record is from RefSeq and is a predicted model, not a curated record. The transcript has 3 exons.